GGGUCAGUAGGUUGGUCGUGCCACCGGUACGUACUGGUCUCACUGACUCCUCCUUCCUGAAGAACCGUAAUGCCAUUAAUUUGGUGUUGCGGGGAAACAGGACUGUUACUUUGAAAAAAUUAGAGUGUUUAAAGCAAGCUAACGCUUGAAUACAUUAGCAUGGAAUAAUGAAAUAGUACGAUCGAUCCUAUUUUGUUGGUUUCUAGGAUUGACGUA
RNAcentral lists this ribosomal RNA (216 nucleotides) under Glomeromycotina sp. RNAcentral describes it as "partial small subunit ribosomal RNA". The stretch from base 54 to 216 matches the Rfam family "Eukaryotic small subunit ribosomal RNA", at positions 700 to 864 of the family's 1831-position model. Lineage: Eukaryota; Fungi; Glomeromycota. The record is from RNAcentral.